Molecule: long non-coding RNA, 622 nt
Filed under: Lathyrus oleraceus (garden pea)
Lineage: Eukaryota; Viridiplantae; Streptophyta; Magnoliopsida; Fabales; Fabaceae
Description: Pisum sativum (pea) long non-coding RNA (PSAT_LNC003004)
Source: RNAcentral
UGGAAGCAAUUAGAAAUGAUCAAGGCACUUGUUUUCUUUCGAGCACAACUACAUCCAAAAACAACUUACCUGUGAGCAGAGAGAGUAUUUGUUAACCCCUUUGAGCCUAAACAGUUGAAUCUCGGCUUGAAAUAAAGCGAGAUCUCAAAAAUUUUUUUUUUACAACCCGGAAAAUCUUGAUUAUUGUUCUUUUGCCGUAAAAAGUUAAGAGCAUUCACUUAGGGUGUGGAAGAAAUAAGUUGGGGAGAACGAAAAAGAAUUGGUAAGUACCACAACUCUUGAAAAAGAAAAGAAAAACCGAGCAAGCAUAGAAAAAUAUAUGUAUAGAAAAUGUAGAAAAUAAACAUCUGUUUUGUAUAUUUGAUGUGAAAGAAAAGAACAAAAAUAGAAAGAAUGAAAAAAAAAAUGCUUGCUUGGAAGAAAAAUAGUGAAAAAUAAAAGUGGAGUUGUGGAAUAUGUGUUGUGAAGGUUACAAAUAAGAAACAAAGGAAACAAAGUCGAGUAGUGUGAAUAAUACUGUGAAUGUCUCUUUUGCAUCGGCACUUUCGUUUCAAUGGCCUUAGAAAUGACCCUUGUUUGUUAACCUAACCAAGCUUCAACCGAAAAGCCCUUAGUGAUCUUU